Molecule: non-coding RNA, 1721 nt
Organism: Paramuricea clavata
Lineage: Eukaryota; Metazoa; Cnidaria; Anthozoa; Malacalcyonacea; Plexauridae
Source: the annotation of a GenBank genome assembly
CCAGAGAGCCACUGAUCUUUAUAAUUUUUAAAAAAGGAGUACAUUGGAGAAGAUUUGAAAUUAGUAAAUAUUUAUAGUUACAUAUAGGUGUAAAAGGUUUCUUCUGAACUUUACCAACUACUAUCAAGUUCAAGCUGGAUCAUUAAUUCAUUCGAGCGACUAUCUCCACAAUUUCUGCUGUGAAAUGUAUAAAUGAUGAUCCAAACAGAUAAUAUAAAUGAGCUGAACGAAUGGUGGUAUUUUUGCCCAUGUCGCAUGUAUGCUUUUGCAGUAUCGGUAGGUGCAGACCUACAGUAUUUUGUGUGGAGCCGUAGAAAAUGAGUAAUAAUUAAAUUACUAAAUUAACGAGAAAUUGAAAUAAUUGUCAUGAUGGGAAACAAACUUUUGAAAUUUCGAGGACUAUGGUGAUUCUGUUUCCAUAUGUUAAUAAAUAAACAACAAAAGCUGAAAAGCACUACAGGUGAGGCAUUUUUCAAAAUUUUAAUUAAACACUUGUACUGUACCAUACAUUCAUUUAUUGAAAUAUACUAUAAUUUAUUACUAUUAUAUAAUAUUUCAACUCGAUUACUACUUGUAUAUAAUGCACAUAUCAAUGGCCUGGCCCUGGGGGUACACCCCCGGGACAUUGCAAAAACAUGAUUCUAAUGCAUUAAUUCCCCCUCCCUCCCCCGGGAAAUGUGUAAGUCAAACUGCCCUCCCCCUGGGCUUACAAUAAAGUAGUUCAUAAUAUAAAUAGCAUACAAACAAUUAAAAAUUAUUAUACAAACUGGGGUAUCACAAUGGCACUCAUGUAUUCCAUAUUUAUUUAUUUAUUCAAAUUUUAGCAAGACCACUACAAAAUAUCAUAAAUAAUAUGUUGCCGAUCGAUAUUUUUCUGUGAGCCUGUGAUUUUGAGUUCACACCAAUUAUGUCCAACCUCGGAAUUUUGAAAAAAAUUUUCAUUUUUUUUUCCAACCUCGGAAUUUUGAAAAAAUUUUCAUUUUUUUUCCAACCUCGGAAUUGUGAAAAGUACUUCAUUUAUAAAAUUCAAAUUGUCACGUCAAAGUCCCCUACUUCCCCUCCCCCCAUCGUCCUAUUAUUGCGAAGUUUGUAAGGGAGUGGUCAUUAUUUAUGGGAGGGGGCGUUGGGAAAUGGGAGGGGGGGGACAAAGUUUUACCUUUAUAAAUAGAGGGGAUCAAAAAAGUUUUAACACAGAGAAGGGGGGGGGUCAUAAAAGUUUUUGAACUUAAAUACCAUGUCUAGAGUUCUGAUUUCUAUAAUCACAAAUAGCAAAAAAGAAGACUCUGAAAAUGCUAUUUCCAACAAAUCUAGAUACUCAAAAUUUCCAUGCUCUGGGGUGGACAUCUACAAAAAGGGACCAUACUAUAUUGAGUGCGGAGAGAUGACAGAUGGUUGUUGGUGACAAAAAGUUUGGUGCGGUAUUGUAUGUACUAGUAGGGGGGUCCGGGGAUUCUCCCCCAGAAAAUGUUUUGUAUUUUUCCACCCCUAGAACUGAAAUGUAAGCAUUUUCUGAAACAGAUUUUUGGAUAUACAACGUUACAUUGUGUGUUGAUAGACCGAAUCUGAUCAGUUAAGUGUAUUUGCAUGGUAUGUUUAUGUAAAUACCACAACUGGGUCACUCAGGGGGUAGCAAGCUUGUUAAACUUAGUGUGCCCGACUCCCAUGAUUGCGAGGCACUACCAUGGUUGGUGCCCAGACAAGUUCUUAAAAAAAACGCUGUG